CAUAGGAUAGUUUAUAGAAAAUAUUAGUUUUGGGAAUUAAUGAUAUGAGAAUUUCUUUCCUUUGA
RNAcentral lists this transfer RNA (65 nucleotides) under Deroplatys desiccata. Its description in RNAcentral is "tRNA-Pro". Lineage: Eukaryota; Metazoa; Arthropoda; Insecta; Mantodea; Mantidae. The record is from RNAcentral.